Molecule: ribosomal RNA, 414 nt
Filed under: Procladius sp. LSC2.6
Lineage: Eukaryota; Metazoa; Arthropoda; Insecta; Diptera; Chironomidae
Description: partial large subunit ribosomal RNA
Rfam family: Eukaryotic large subunit ribosomal RNA
Source: RNAcentral
UUCAAUACUCUGUUAGCAAUAACAGAGUGUGCACUUCUCUUUUAGUAAGACGUUGUGAUCCAUUAGAAAUUGAUUGUCCCAUAUGGUUUGACAAUCAUUGGGCUACCAAUAGUCUGACAUUGAAGUUCACGAUGACAAAUAAUGCAGUCAUUUUUAACGAUUGUAUAUAUUGUCUUGUGAGCAUGUCAUAAGCUGGUGUAGCCGUCUGAUGGAUUUUAAAGGUCACAACAUUAAUAUCCUUGUGGUAUUACGACAAUCGGCAACGGUUGGCGUGUUUUCGUUGUGUACCCGAUCAACAACGGUUUCAUUUGGGAUACCUUUGGGACCCGUCUUGAAACACGGACCAAGGAGUCUAUCUAGUAUGCAAGUAAAUGGGAAUAUUGUAAACCUAUUUGCGUAAAUAACUUGACUGUU